RNAcentral lists this long non-coding RNA (464 nucleotides) under Mustela putorius furo (domestic ferret). RNAcentral describes it as "lncRNA (ENSMPUG00000028384.1)". The record is from RNAcentral. Lineage: Eukaryota; Metazoa; Chordata; Mammalia; Carnivora; Mustelidae.
GCCAGAGUGAGGUCCGUCAGCUCUCCUGGGCAGAGUCAGGGCUGUCUAAGGGACUGGCUAUGCAUAGCCCCCGGUAGGUUACACUGGCUCAAGUUCAGGGGUUUUCCACCUGUUAUCUCUGUGAUUACAGGCAGGUUACUAAAGAAAACUCCUGUUCUACAAACGGGGAACUUGAAGCUGAACUCGGGCAGAGGGCCCCGGUGCAAAGCGACACUCUCCCCACUCUUCUGACAAGUCCCCACACAGCCAUGUUGCCCUGUCUCUCAGUAGAGGACAUCAGGAGGUCUCUCGCUGUGACAGUGGGGCCACCACAAAGCAAAACCCUUUCUUCCCUUCCCUGCAUUCUCCUGGUGCUCUAGAAGAAACAAUUAAACCUCUUUGCUGGUGAGAGUGAAAAGUCACAUCCACUUUGGAAACCUGUGUGUUGGUUUAUUAUAAAAUGAGACACACAUUUACCAGAAAAC